Molecule: ribosomal RNA, 410 nt
Filed under: Staphylococcus caprae
Lineage: Bacteria; Bacillati; Bacillota; Bacilli; Caryophanales; Staphylococcaceae
Description: bacterial SSU rRNA
Rfam family: Bacterial small subunit ribosomal RNA
Source: RNAcentral
GGUAGCGCUAUGGUGUAUUAUUGGGCGUAAGCGCGCGUAGGCGGUUUUUUAAGUCUGAUGUGAAAGCCCACGGCUCAACCGUGGAGGGUCAUUGGAAACUGGAAAACUUGAGUGCAGAAGAGGAAAGUGGAAUUCCAUGUGUAGCGGUGAAAUGCGCAGAGAUAUGGAGGAACACCAGUGGCGAAGGCGACUUUCUGGUCUGUAACUGACGCUGAUGUGCGAAAGCGUGGGGAUCAAACAGGAUUAGAUACCCUGGUAGUCCACGCCGUAAACGAUGAGUGCUAAGUGUUAGGGGGUUUCCGCCCCUUAGUGCUGCAGCUAACGCAUUAAGCACUCCGCCUGGGGAGUACGACCGCAAGGUUGAAACUCAAAGGAAUUGACGGGGACCCGCACAAGCGGUGGAGCAUGUG